UAUUAAGUGCCUCUAGAUUUACUUUUUGGGACAAUUGUAAAUACUAACUAAAUAAGAGACACUAAUAUUUUAAAUUUCAGGAAUUAAAACUUUCAGGGGAAACAAUCGCGCCUUUCUUAUUUCUGGGGACUCUUCUCUUCCUCCUCAAUCCAAAUUCCCUAUUCUUCCAAUUACCCUAUCAUUCAAACAUCCACCAGUUUCUAAUUUCACGUUAGCCAAAAAAACUCAAACUCGGAAACCUGACUCACGUUAUUGCCGCCGCUGUGCCCGCCGCUGCGCUGUCGUAAUCUCGAAGCCGCUGCUGUACCGCCGACAUCCUCUUCUCCGUUUCCAGUUGCUGCUGUGCCUUCUACCCCAUAUCCUAGGCAUCGAUUUUGCUCCUUGUGUGGCGCUGCGAUCGGUGUUCUCGCCCCAAUCGAAAGCCCCAAUCGAAGAAGCCUAGGUUUUUGAGACAUUAUUGAAGUAGUCGGGAACCUUCUAAACAUAGAUCUUCGGGACAAGCCUGCACUUGAGACGCCUUUUGCUUCUCAAAACUGAUAUAUUGUUUCUCAUCCAUACCCACAGAAAGCUUCUAAAAUUGCUCCAGUUCUUUCACAAGAGUGACUAUCCUUCCAUGGCUCGGCUGCUGUUCCUGAUAACGAAUUUGGAAGGAGGCCUAAUCCUUCUGCAAUACGAAGAAAUGAAACUGCUGCAUCUACACCUGGCUGGACAGAGAAACCAUUGUAGAAUACCAAUUUUUCGCAUACAACUCAAAAAGAGAUGAGAAG
Long non-coding RNA from Salvia miltiorrhiza (redroot sage), 767 nucleotides. RefSeq lists it as uncharacterized. Lineage: Eukaryota; Viridiplantae; Streptophyta; Magnoliopsida; Lamiales; Lamiaceae. The record is from RefSeq and is a predicted model, not a curated record. The transcript is spliced from 4 exons.